CAGGCCCAGAGUCACCACCUCCCUCAUUGUGGUAGAGCAGAUGCCAAUUUCUCAGGGGCAGUGGACUGCUUCCGACAGGUAGUGAAGUCCCAGGGUGUGCUGGCCCUCUGGAAUGGACUGACUGCCAACUUGCUAAAGAUAGUUCCAUAUUUUGGAGUUAUGUUUAGCACCUUUGAAUUUUGCAAGAGAAUCUACCUUUAUCAAAAUGGCUACACUGUGUCUCCUUUGAGCUAUAAGCUUACCCCAGGCGUAGAUCAGAGUUUACAGCCACAAGAGUUACGGGAAUUACAGAAGUUGCUCAAAAAUGGUGAUUUUGAAGCAAGAAAACCCACUUUGUAAAACUGAACAAGGCCGAAAGGGUUAAAAGCAUACAUAUAUGUACAGCCUCAUGACCUCAUGUGAUCAGAAGAGGUUGCCUCUGUCCAUUGUCCUGAAAAAAUGAGACGCUUGGACCUUUCACCAUCUGAUCUGUGGGCCCCUUGCUCAUGCAGACUUGGUGGCCUACUUUGAUUAAAGUGCCUGGAGCAGUCUAAUCACUAUCUCGUGAAUUACACCUAGUAUCCCAGGGAUGGGACUGGGCAGUCAGUCCCAGCUCAAAGCUUUCCAAGGUCAUCUCGUCAAAGCAAGAAUAAGACUCAUAUCCGCAGUGACCAUAACAAAGACCCAAAGAAACAGGUUUGCUGUGUUACAAGCCUCCUUAAAAGAAAGGCAGAGAAUGUGGGUCGGAGCGUACAUCAGAAGACCAGACAUCACACUGCCUCUUGCCUUGCUUCCCAGUAUCUGAUGCGUGUACCAACUAGCAAUGACUGCAAAAUUCUUGCAAACCAACACAGACCCUAUUCGAAUAGUUUGGCCCAAACCUUCACAGCACAAGAGUUCAUGACUUCAUCCUCAUCUUUUUUAAGGACCUCAGAAUAGCUUGUGUUUUCGAAGGAAAGAGAUAAAAAUCUGUUUCCAAAACCUUUCAUUUCAAGUUUAGGAAGCCUGGGUCAUUCAUUAAGUAAAGUGGUUUUGUUCAUGUCCAUUUCAUGUUGCCACAGAAAACCCCAGAUUAUCCUCAGCUGCUGCUAUGGACAGGUUCAUAGAAGUGACUUGCCAAUGCCUUUGAUUUUACUCUUGCCUAGCAAAGCCAAGAAUUUGCUGGUAACUUCAAUAGCUCCCAUCCAUUUUGUACCAUGGCCUAGUUGCAAAGAAGGGAAGUAAGACAGCCCUGGACUGGUCGUAGAAGGUCAUCAAGUUUGAGCCUCUAUGAAGUGUGAAUUUCUCUCCCGAGACACAAAAACAGAACAGAAAAGCACUUUGAGCUAAUCUCUUCAACCGACUGGAGAAAUCGCCUUUUGGGAGCAAAAUACCUUGGAUCUACACUAAGGGCAUAUAACCAUACCUUUCAAAUAAUUCUUACUUACAUACUUCCAAAAUUAAUGCCUAACUGUCAAAUCAAUAAUCAUGUCUUUGUAGUUGGAUUUUUUUUCUCUUUUUCAGUAUUUUGAAGGUAUAUUGUAUAUUAAACUGGUUUCUCAUA
Long non-coding RNA from Trichosurus vulpecula (common brushtail), 1522 nucleotides. RefSeq lists it as uncharacterized. The record is from RefSeq and is a predicted model, not a curated record. The transcript has 2 exons. NCBI's taxonomy places the organism in Eukaryota, Metazoa, Chordata, Mammalia, Diprotodontia, Phalangeridae.